AUGCUCUCGUUGAUGGCAGCAUCACCAUAUCUUACUUUGCCAAGGAAGAAGUGAACUGUAGAUUUGUGCCUUUGUACCCUGAAAUCUAUGUGCCAUGGAGAACUCCCUUCAAGAGAGGACUGGGCCAAAAAUUCUGUCAGCCAUCAGGAACUGGAAUUGACUUGGGCUUCCUUGAGUUGGAUCAGCUAUCAAAGCCCACACCAGAGGAAGAUAUGUUCCCCCUUGUUAUCUGUGCAGAAGCAUGCCUGCCUUCUCUCUUUGCAGCUGCAGAGCCUCCUGAUCAGCCUAUGCCAACCUUGUCUCCUCGUGCACAUAUUACUCAAGCUGUCUUAGACAAGAAUAAGGAGGGCCAUUUUCAAGUGAAAGUAGUGAAGCAAAUAUUGUGGAUUGAUGGGGCUCGAUAUGAGCUGCGUGAGAUUUAUGAUAGGGAAACAGGGAAAGAAUGUGUCAUUUGCUUGACUAAGCCAAAGGAUACAGUUAUUUUGCCUUGUCGACAUAUGUGUUUGUGCAGUGUGUGUGCAAAAGUGUUGAGACUUCAUUCUAAUAAAUGCCCAAUUUGCCGCCAACCCUUCCAGGAACUCAUGGAGAUCAAGAUUAAUUAAGAUCAUCCUCCUACACCAGAGGGGCAGAUUCCUUUCCUCACCAAGAAUUCACAGCACUACUGGAUGCAGAUUGUUCAAAAAAUUAUUUGAAGCCCAGAUUCUUAUUUGUUUGGUGAGGAAAGGAAUCUGCCCCUCUGG
This 740-nucleotide unclassified non-coding RNA is filed under the name Hevea brasiliensis (rubber tree). The record is from RNAcentral. Lineage: Eukaryota; Viridiplantae; Streptophyta; Magnoliopsida; Malpighiales; Euphorbiaceae.